Molecule: long non-coding RNA, 1167 nt
Organism: Mastomys coucha (southern multimammate mouse)
Lineage: Eukaryota; Metazoa; Chordata; Mammalia; Rodentia; Muridae
Exons: 2
Source: RefSeq, a predicted model, not a curated record
UGUGAGCCCACACAGUGAGCCCUUGAAGUUGAGGUCAAAAACACCAGGCACAAGAGACGUGGUACAGAGCAGCCAGAGAAAGUGUGACUCUGGGCCUGUCUGUGAAAGUCUGUGAAGAAUUGAAGGGGACCUUCAAUCCAGUUAAUUGAAAUUCAGGACGUUUCAGAGAAUUUCAGUUAAAUUGUGUCUCCUAGUGAUGCAAGCUAACGUGUAUUUAGCGGAAGCGUGGCAGCCACAGUGGUGCGGACAGCUCUCCGUCCGUUCCACGCUCUCCACCGGCUCACACCCGCCCUCCGCUGAGCUCCGGAGAGCUCGCCGCCCUCACCGAGCCACACCCGCACGAUCCCGGGAGGUCCUUCCCGCCCCGCGUCCCCCGCGGGCCACGCCCGGGAACACAGUCUCGCCUCCGCCAGGCGGCUGCACGCUCAGCCGCAAGUCUCCGCCGCCCAGCGCCCUGCCCCGCAGCCCGCGCGUGGAUUAGUCUGUACUCGCGAUUCCUCUGCCUUUCCGCCCUCCACGUUCACAGCGGAAGGUCCGCGACCGCGUGGAGGCUGCAUCCGGAGGCCACCUUCCUCAGGGAUGACUACGGAUCUCGAAACUCAAUCCUCCCGCAACCUGCCGGGGCCACCUAGCACUUGGAAGCUUGACCCUGGUUUCCGUCCAAGUGCGGGACACCAGAAAAGGCCUGGCCAGGGUGUGAAGAAAACGCGACAUGAAAAUAAAAUAGUUCAUGGACAUCUCUGAUUCUUGCCCACCGGUCCCCAGAUCACCAGGACAUUCCCCUGCCUUCAGUCGUAGACAACCCCUUCAAGGUGCCCACCAGCUCCGGAGGACCGCCUCACCCCCAGCUUUGAGUCCUGGCCCAGCGUGCGUUCACCUGGAUAUCCACCCAUCUGUACAUGGCUAUAGCAAGAUGUUAAAGAACGUCAGCAAGUUUCUUUACACCCAAGGGUAAAGAGUGUGUGGACAAAAAUCUAGUUCUUCUAUUGUUUCACAGACAACCCAAGGUUGUCAGUUAACUCUUGCCAUCGCUGAUUUGUUACCUUUAGGGGGAAAAGGAAAACGUAUUGAGCACACAUUCUGAAAAAUUAACCAUGUAUUGUUCUGGAUUCGGGAAUGCUUUGUGAACGCAUUAAAAUGCUAGUGCUGUUCAAAAAUGGAUUAGAA